GCCGACUUAGCUCAGCUGGUAGAGCGUCUGAUUCGUAAUUAGAAGGUCAUCGGUUCAAAUCCGAUAGUCGGCUCCA
This 76-nucleotide transfer RNA is filed under the name Pseudomonadota bacterium. RNAcentral describes it as "tRNA-Thr". It matches the Rfam family "tRNA". Rfam says of the family: Transfer RNA (tRNA) molecules are approximately 80 nucleotides in length. The record is from RNAcentral. Lineage: Bacteria; Pseudomonadati; Pseudomonadota. RNAcentral also lists the same sequence under 2 other names.